AGGUAGGCCAGCAUGCCGGCCAGAGCGACAACCAGCAACGCAACCACCAGGCCGACAAUCCACCAAUACGAGGGCUUUUCUGCAGUCGUCCGAUCAACUGCACUCAGGUUCUCUGCUGGCACGGCUGAUUCGCUGUGACACAGCAUAUUUUGCAUCUCCCAAUGAGAUGACCUGAAAAGAUGACCAGCUGACCCAACUCCUCCUGUUUGUUUUCUGGCAUGAAAGCCUGUUGAGUCCUGGUGUCCGUUCUCUUUCCUCCAGCUGCCAAGACGAGUAAGUAAGAGUUCCCAGCGGGAGGACAGGGCCGGGGUAUUCCGGAUUACUUCGUGAUGAUAUUGUAUUUGUAUCUUUUACCAUUAAAUCAGCAUAUUUGUUAUAACCUUA
Long non-coding RNA from Gymnodraco acuticeps, 384 nucleotides. RefSeq lists it as uncharacterized. The transcript is spliced from 2 exons. NCBI's taxonomy places the organism in Eukaryota, Metazoa, Chordata, Actinopteri, Perciformes, Bathydraconidae. The record is from RefSeq and is a predicted model, not a curated record.